UUGCGACCCCAGGUCAGGC
This 19-nucleotide ribosomal RNA is filed under the name Caralluma arachnoidea. Its description in RNAcentral is "partial 26S ribosomal RNA". Lineage: Eukaryota; Viridiplantae; Streptophyta; Magnoliopsida; Gentianales; Apocynaceae. The record is from RNAcentral.